RNAcentral lists this long non-coding RNA (714 nucleotides) under Mus spicilegus (steppe mouse). Its description in RNAcentral is "lncRNA (ENSMSIG00000030971.1)". The record is from RNAcentral. Lineage: Eukaryota; Metazoa; Chordata; Mammalia; Rodentia; Muridae.
AAUAUCUGACAAAUGGACUUUGGGGUCUCUCAUUAGUUGCUUAUAUGAAUCAGCAGCCAAGGUUUUUCUCAUCUGUAAGAAAUGGACAUUCCCACGUACCUCGCCGCUCUUGUACUAUGGUUUGAUGACCUAUGAUGUAAGACAGUGCACAGCAUGGGGCCCACUCUGCUAAGGACUUCCCAUAAAUGAGGAUUGAGAAGCACAAGCGUCACUCCGUGAGAGGUGGGUUUAUGUGCUCACAAUGAGUGACUCAGUGCCAGGCUUUGACAGGACAGUCAGAGCUAAAAUUCUGUUUCUGCUAGAUGAUUAAUACAGACAGGUCACUGGGUAGAAACCCAGGCCGGGUUAGGGUCAGAGCAGAGGGGAGUGGGAAGCCUCCUUUCUGGAGUGUCAAGUCUCAGUGCUGACCAUGGGACUUGCAUCUGCUCUUCUGGACUAUGGUUUCACGUGUUCUUGCAUCAGUUUCUGGGCAACAAAACAACUCUCAUUUCCUGUUAUUUCCACAGCAGAGGUUGGACCAUUGGAGCCUUAUAACCUAGGCUGAAGCAAGCAGAGUCUACUUGGUCGUGGGCGGUCUUGGACCAUGUAAGAAGUAAGCUGAGCAAUACACUGAGAGCAAGCCGGUAAGCAGCAUCCCUCCAUGGUUCCUGCUUCUGCUCAUGCUUCAGUUCCUGCCCCGGCUUUCCUCCAUGAUGGACUGCGAUUGGGGUGAAU